UACGUAGGCAGCAAGCGUUGUUCGGAGUUACUGGGCGUAAAGGGUGCGUAGGCGGUUGUUUAAGUUUGGUGUGAAAUCUCCCGGCUCAACUGGGAGGGUGCGCCGAAUACUGAAUGACUAGAGUGCGGGAGAGGAGAGUGGAAUUCCUGGUGUAGCAGUGAAAUGCGUAGAUAUCAGGAGGAAUACCGAUGGCGAAGGCAGGUCUCUGGGCUGACACUGACGCUCAUGCACGAAAGCGUGGGGAGCAAACAGG
This 253-nucleotide ribosomal RNA is filed under the name uncultured bacterium. Its description in RNAcentral is "partial 16S ribosomal RNA". It matches the Rfam family "Bacterial small subunit ribosomal RNA", at positions 524 to 776 of the family's 1533-position model. The record is from RNAcentral.